CUGGGAUUCAAAGUCACAUGUGUGAGCACAGCAUUUCUAGGCAGCCCGUUUCCACAGCCCUGCUGCCCAUGCCUUUUGUUUUAGAAGACCGGUCUCUGCAGCUCACUGCUGCUGGAAGGAAAACUCACAUGAUCACAUUUUGUGUACACAUGCAUCCACAUGCAUAGUGAAACCAGACGUUCCAAGGCUCACAGGAGCGAGAUCCCAACAAGGGUCAGCCAUGCUUCUGGAAGCCCCUGCUCCUGGCUGCCAACUCUGCAUCAUAAGGUAUCAUAAGGACUUUCAUGAUGGGGAACACGUUGUUUCCAACAUCCUCCGGAUCUCACUUCAAGCCCGGCAUGUGCUACCAGGAGCCACAGAAACAAAAGACCCGGGUUCAAGUUACAGCUCCAGUUCCUACUAGCUGAGUGACCAUGGCAAUUUAGUCAGCCUCUGUCUGCAUGAAUUUCCCCAUGUAUAAAGUGAGAUCAUUGACAGCCUUCUCAGAACAUGGUCACGAGGAUAAAAUGGGUAAUGUUUGUACAGCUCAUAGCCCCGAGGCUGGUGCCUGGUGUGCAGUAACCACCAUCUUCCCAUCUUCCUCUUCCUCCGUGGGGGCAGCAGUUUUCCAGCUGUGCUUCACGGAAACCACAAUUGCAUCUGGUUUACUUGCUGGCAAUCACAGGGUAUCUGCAAAAGAAACUAGGCUUCCACAUGUUAGUGAAAGUAGUAGAAUUUUCAUCUUUUAAGCAUCUGUGGAGACAUUAUUUAUGAAUCCAAUUUCUGUUUUUAUUCUAUCUGCAAAUUACAUUCUUAUCAUCAUCCUGUAGAGGCAAAUUUAUUCCCAAACAUAAUCACAGAUUACCAAAAAUAAAAAAGUAUAAGUAUUGUCAUCCAUGGAUAGGGAG
Molecule: long non-coding RNA, 887 nt
Filed under: Homo sapiens (human)
Lineage: Eukaryota; Metazoa; Chordata; Mammalia; Primates; Hominidae
Description: HSALNT0100405
Source: RNAcentral